Molecule: ribosomal RNA, 443 nt
Filed under: uncultured bacterium
Lineage: Bacteria
Description: partial 16S ribosomal RNA
Rfam family: Bacterial small subunit ribosomal RNA
Source: RNAcentral
CCUACGGGAGGCAGCAGUGGGGAAUAUUGGGCAAUGGAGGAAACCCUGACCCAGCAACGCCGCGUGGGUGAUGAAGGGCUUCGGAGCGUAAAGCUCUGUUCAAAGGGAAGAAGAAAGUGACGGUAUCUUAGGAAAAAGCCUCGGCUAACUACGUGCCAGCAGCCGCGGUAAUACGUAGGAGGCGAGAGUGAUCCGGAAUGACUGGGGGUAAAGGGGGCGUAGGGGGUAGGGCAAGGUAGUUGCGAAAGCCCAAGGCACAACCUUGGAACUGCUUCUGAAACUGUUGGACUUGAGUGCAGGAGGGGCAACCGGAAUUCCUGGUGUAGCGGUGGAAUGCGUAGAUAUUAGGAGGAACACCAGUGGCGAAGGCGGGUUGCUAGACUGUAACUGACGCUGAGGCACGAAAGCGUGGGGAGCAAACAGGAUUAGAUACCCUUGUAGUC